CCUACGGGAGGCAGCAGUGAGGAAUAUUGGUCAAUGGACGAGAGUCUGAACCAGCCAAGUAGCGUGAAGGAUGACUGCCCUAGGGGUUGUAAACUUCUUUUAUAAAGGAAUAAAACGAGGCACGUGUGCCUUUUUGCAUGUACUUUAUGAAUAAGGAUCGGCUAACUCCGUGCCAGCAGCCGCGGUAAUACGGAGGAGCCGAGCGUUAUCCGGAUUUAUUGGGUUUAAAGGGAGCGUAGAUGGGUUGUUAAGUCAGUUGUAAAAGUUUGCGGCUCAACCGUAAAAUUGCAAUUGAUACUGGCAGUCUUGAGUACAGUUGAGGUAGGCGGAAUUCGGGGUGUAGCGGUGAAAUGCUUAGAUAUCACGAAGAACCCCGAUUGCGAAGACAGCUUACUAAACUGUGACUGACAUUGAUGCUCGAAAGUGUGGGUAUCAAACAGGAUUAGAUACCCUUGUAGUC
This 460-nucleotide ribosomal RNA is filed under the name uncultured bacterium. Its description in RNAcentral is "partial 16S ribosomal RNA". It matches the Rfam family "Bacterial small subunit ribosomal RNA", at positions 338 to 795 of the family's 1533-position model. The record is from RNAcentral.